RNAcentral lists this ribosomal RNA (253 nucleotides) under uncultured bacterium. RNAcentral describes it as "partial 16S ribosomal RNA". It matches the Rfam family "Bacterial small subunit ribosomal RNA", at positions 524 to 776 of the family's 1533-position model. The record is from RNAcentral. RNAcentral also lists the same sequence under 1 other name.
UACGAGGGGGGCAAAUGUUGUUCGGAAUCACUGGGCGUAAAGGGAGCGUAGGCGGGCUUCUAAGUUGGAUGUUUAACCCCGGGGCCCAACCCCGGAUCGGCAUCCAAAACUGGAAGUCUUGAAUAGUGGAGAGGACGGCGGAAUUGGGGGUGUAGCGGUGGAAUGCGUAGAGAUCCCCAAGAACACCAGUUGCGAAGGCGGCCGUCUGGACACAUAUUGACGCUGAGGCUCGAAAGCAUGGGGAGCAAACAGG